This 137-nucleotide ribosomal RNA is filed under the name uncultured bacterium. RNAcentral describes it as "partial 16S ribosomal RNA". It matches the Rfam family "Bacterial small subunit ribosomal RNA", at positions 355 to 509 of the family's 1533-position model. The record is from RNAcentral.
UGGGGAAUAUUGGGCAAUGGGCGCAAGCCUGACCCAGCAACGCCGCGUGAAGGAAGAAGGCUUUCGGGUUGUAAACUUCUUUUGUCAGGGACGAUAGUGACGGUACCUGACGAAUAAGCCACGGCUAACUACGUGCC